CCACUUCAUGUGUCUCGUGUUCACGGAGACGUUCCAUGAUUUUUUGUACGAUCUCUGACGGAGCUACAUACGGCGAGCCUGUGAAAAUGCCAACGAUGAAUUAGAAAAUUUUAUGGUAUCAAAGUUGAAGAGAAAUGCGACCGCAGAGCCAAGAUUGCAAAUGUAUAGUAAAUCCAUAUAUGGUAUAGUAAAGCCAUAUCGAAUUGAAACUAUUCUACGAAAUAAAUGACAGAACAGAAUUGCCUAGCUACUCUGUCCUACACAUGCAUGCGAAGUAGUCGGGAUAAAUUUCACCAAUUUAUCAACGACCUUCUAUAACAGAAAGAUUUUAUCGGACACAUCAAACAAUAUAAUAUAAAAUAACAAUAAGAAGCAAAUCAGUGAAUACAGUCAACAUGCGUGGCUGGAAUAAAAUAGUCGAGUUACGCAGCAGGUGCUAAUUAUUAUUGUCGACUGGAGUACAUGAACGAAGCCAACAACGAACUGCAAAGUAAAUUAUGAA
Molecule: long non-coding RNA, 502 nt
Organism: Athalia rosae (coleseed sawfly)
Lineage: Eukaryota; Metazoa; Arthropoda; Insecta; Hymenoptera; Athaliidae
Exons: 3
Source: RefSeq, a predicted model, not a curated record